RNAcentral lists this ribosomal RNA (479 nucleotides) under uncultured Acholeplasma sp. RNAcentral's name for it is "bacterial SSU rRNA". It matches the Rfam family "Bacterial small subunit ribosomal RNA", at positions 898 to 1382 of the family's 1533-position model. The record is from RNAcentral. Lineage: Bacteria; Bacillati; Mycoplasmatota; Mollicutes; Acholeplasmatales; Acholeplasmataceae.
AACUUAAAGGAAUUGACGGGGGCCCGCACAAGCGGUGGAUCAUGUUGUUUAAUUCGAUGAUACGCAAAGAACCUUACCAGGUCUUGACAUCCCCCGCGAUGCUUUAGAGAUAAAGCGGAGGUAUUCGGGGAGACAGGUGGUGCAUGGUUGUCGUCAGCUCGUGUCGUGAGAUGUUGGGUUAAGUCCCGCAACGAGCGCAACCCCUAUUGCUAGUUACCAUCAUUAAGUUGGGGACUCUAGCGAGACUGCCAGUGAUAAACUGGAGGAAGGUGGGGAUGACGUCAAAUCAUCAUGCCCCUUAUGACCUGGGCUACAAACGUGAUACAAUGGCCGGUACAACGGGCAGCGAAGGAGCGAUCCGGAGCGAAUCCUAAAAAGCCGGUCCCAGUUCGGAUUGCAGGCUGAAACUCGCCUACAUGAAGUUGGAGUUGCUAGUAAUCGCGAAUCAGGAUGUCGCGGUGAAUGCGUUCCCGGGUCUU